Molecule: long non-coding RNA, 1318 nt
Organism: Harpegnathos saltator (Jerdon's jumping ant)
Lineage: Eukaryota; Metazoa; Arthropoda; Insecta; Hymenoptera; Formicidae
Exons: 3
Source: RefSeq, a predicted model, not a curated record
UCUUCCUAGACUCUUUGUUGCUAAAGUUACACGACGCGGUAGCGUACCGACACACUGCAGCAAUCAUCGCGGUCGGUUCACCGGUGAAACGGCUUCGAAACGCGGCGCGUAAACGCGUCUUUACGCACCGCGCGUCCACGUGUCCGCGCGACACGGGAAAUACCUCGUUUUACGUAAUCCGCGGCCGCACCGGCCGCUCUUCGGAGAAGUCGUUCUCGCUCGCGUCGCUUAUGAAAUAUCGCGUUGGGGAAAAGUCUCGGCCCGCGCGAGCGAACCGAGUGGAGGAGCAGGUGAAAAGUCGGGAUGACGUCUCUGUUAUCGCGACCGAGCGUUCAUCCCUAAUGCUGCUGCUGACAUUAGGGGGCUGUCAGCUUUGAAAAUUGAACAACUUGAAUAAAUUUUCGGAAGAAAAGAAGAACAAAAAUUGAAAAUAUAGUUUGUCAAAAGAUAUGUCUUGCGGGGAACACACACAUCGAUGAAUGAAAAAUAUUUAAUAAUCGGGAUAUUUUUAAUAUCAGCUGGCCAGCUGGAUGUUGAGAUAACAAAGGACAUUUGAGCAGGAGCUCCCGCAGGAGUCUUUCUGUGGCUAAGAGGGAAUUUUCGUCUGGUCUUUGGCCGAUGAAAAAUUCAAUUGCACGAAGUGAGUCUCUCCUUCGAUUCGGAUUUUUCACGUGACGGAGAGACGACGAAUUUUGGUCCCAAGACGAAAUUAUUCCGUGAGGCUCAUCGAUUGCGCCAGAAUUCCAGGUUCUGUAAAUGUUCAUGUAAAUCCGGGCUGUUCAGCGAGAAAUCUCGCACACUAAUCACCCGAUUAUUCACAAAAUCGUCCCGUUCCCGUGCGGUUGUUUACAAGCGACGAGAGUAAGAGGAAGAGAAAGAGAGAAAGAGAGAGAGAGAGAGAGAAAGAUGAAUCGAUCAGGUCGUUGGUCCACGAACGUUGAAUCCGAUCGGCGCGGCGAACGGCAUAUUUCCAAUUCGAUCUCGGCGGGAGGACCUUGACCGAGAAUAACGAUUGGAUAGCUAUUCGCCAACGCGGCGCCAACAUUUGGCGUGCGAAGGACGACUUAUGCUUGCGAGCGAAGACGUUGAAGAGGCAAUCAAAAACGUGACGACAGGACGACAAGAAAAAUGGAGUUUACUUAAUAAUUGCUAAUUUACUUGAUUCUUUCGAUAUCGUACCUUAAUCUUUGACCUUGUCAAUUCAUCACGUAUGAUACCCUUGCAUUCUUUCUUGUAUCAGUGCGAUGAUCAUCAUUGCUUAUCACAAUGAUUAUUCACGAAAAAAUUAAUUUCUCUUAAACAAAUUUAGUUUAUUUUU